GACAUGGAGAUAUAUUUAACUCUUUAUUUUUGUUUUCAUUAAUUUAUGUUUAUUUGACCUUUUAUUAUUGUUUAAAGAUUUANAUACCUUAGGGAUAACAGCGUUAUUUUUCUUGAGAGUUCAUAUCGACAGAUAAGAUUGCGACCUCGAUGUUGGAUUAAGAUUAUUAUUAGGUGUAGUUGCUUAAUUAUUUAGGUCUGUUCGACCUUUAAAUUCUUACAUGAUCUGAGUUCAAAAC
Molecule: ribosomal RNA, 238 nt
Filed under: Trachyaretaon carmelae
Lineage: Eukaryota; Metazoa; Arthropoda; Insecta; Phasmatodea; Heteropterygidae
Description: partial 16S ribosomal RNA
Rfam family: Bacterial large subunit ribosomal RNA (bases 94-238)
Source: RNAcentral